CCGCUGGUGGUGGAAUGGUAUACACGGCGGUCUUAGAAACCGCUGCCGUAAGGCAUGGGAGUUCGACUCUCCCCCAGCGGA
RNAcentral lists this transfer RNA (81 nucleotides) under Streptomyces sp. SID8499. RNAcentral describes it as "tRNA-Leu". It matches the Rfam family "tRNA". From Rfam's summary of the family: Transfer RNA (tRNA) molecules are approximately 80 nucleotides in length. Their secondary structure includes four short double-helical elements and three loops (D, anti-codon, and T loops). Lineage: Bacteria; Bacillati; Actinomycetota; Actinomycetes; Kitasatosporales; Streptomycetaceae. The record is from RNAcentral.